Molecule: long non-coding RNA, 250 nt
Filed under: Lathyrus oleraceus (garden pea)
Lineage: Eukaryota; Viridiplantae; Streptophyta; Magnoliopsida; Fabales; Fabaceae
Description: Pisum sativum (pea) long non-coding RNA (PSAT_LNC034740)
Source: RNAcentral
CUAACCCCAUAUUCGUGACAUCGAACCCAAGAGAGUUCUGGCAUUCCAUCGCCCGAAUCUUUUCAGCCAGGGCAUCGACCUUACGAUCUCUAUCUUCCAUUCUAGCAACAUCACCAUCGUCCUCUCCCAUCAUUGUGAACAUGUCCUCUUGUCUAUCAACAAAAGGAGCUGGAUGACGCGCCGGAGCCCUGGUAGCUCUGGCAUUAACCUCUGCAGCAAGAGGCUGACCAUCAACCCUUAUACCCCUGAG